This is a long non-coding RNA of Armigeres subalbatus, 653 nucleotides long. RefSeq lists it as uncharacterized. The record is from RefSeq and is a predicted model, not a curated record. The transcript has 3 exons. NCBI's taxonomy places the organism in Eukaryota, Metazoa, Arthropoda, Insecta, Diptera, Culicidae.
AGCGCCUUUGAAGCGGAUCACCAUUCGUGACACCGUUACAUAAAGUCCGAGCAAUGAGAAAGGGUUCGACUUGCAAUCGGGAAUAUGAGUAGCAGACCAAACCGCUUCGAAUGGGAGGGAGAUGUUUACAAUCUAUCUCUUACAAUCAGGGUCAACGUAAUCCGUCGCGCUUCAAUUUCCGGUUACAUUGCCAAAGAACGUUAAUCUGAGGAUUAUUUGCAAUCGACUCGUUCACUUUGAUCCUGACCGUGGUGAAAGAAGAGCGCGAUCCUUUAGUUUGUUCAGUGGUGUAAUUGGCUAGCCUAGUUGUAAAUUGUGCGGUAGAGUUUUUGUGAGCUAUGCGACUGUCUUGUGUGUUAAAGACGACAAAGCCACCGCCUGCACGCCAUCACCAUUGCUCGUCGCCAUCGCCAACCCUUGCCACGCUCUGGACUCAAGGUUUCCCGCCUUGACGAAGGCGGAAGGGCUACUCCCGUCUAACUGCACUCCAACCGGCGACCCCCAGUCAAACCCCGGCCGAUUGAGUCGGCCCGAACCGUAAGUGUUUCCAAACCUUUUUUUUUCCGGACCCGUUCGCGGUUCCGAGUGUGCUGUAGUCAGCGAAAAUAGGCGAACCGUCGUAAGCUCCAGUCGGAGUCCAUCGCAGUGGCCGA